GACGAACGCUGGCGGCGUGCCUAAUACAUGCAAGUAGAACGCACAGUUUAUACCGUAGCUUGCUACACCAUAGACUGUGAGUUGCGAACGGGUGAGUAACGCGUAGGUAACCUGCCUGGUAGCGGGGGAUAACUAUUGGAAACGAUAGCUAAUACCGCAUAAUAUUAAUUAUUGCAUGAUAAUUAAUGGAAAGGUGCAAUUGCACCACUACCAGAUGGACCUGCGUUGUAUUAGCUAGUAGGUGAGGUAACGGCUCACCUAGGCGACGAUACAUAGCCGACCUGAGAGGGUGAUCGGCCACACUGGGACUGGGACACGGCCCAGACUCCUACGGGAGGCAGCAGUAGGGAAUCUUCGGCAAUGGACGAAAGUCUGACCGAGCAACGCCGCGUGAGUGAAGAAGGGUUUCGGAUCGUAAAGCUCUGUUGUAAGAGAAGAACGGGUGUGAGAGUGGAAAGUUCACACUGUGACGGUAUCUUACCAGAAAGGGACGGCUAACUACGUG
This 505-nucleotide ribosomal RNA is filed under the name uncultured bacterium. RNAcentral's name for it is "partial 16S ribosomal RNA". It matches the Rfam family "Bacterial small subunit ribosomal RNA", at positions 28 to 507 of the family's 1533-position model. The record is from RNAcentral.